This 246-nucleotide ribosomal RNA is filed under the name uncultured bacterium. RNAcentral's name for it is "partial small subunit ribosomal RNA". It matches the Rfam family "Bacterial small subunit ribosomal RNA", at positions 26 to 285 of the family's 1533-position model. The record is from RNAcentral.
AGAAUCAACGCUGGCGGCGUGCCUAACACAUGCAAGUCGAACGAGAAAGUGGAGCAAUCCAUGAGUACAGUGGCGCACGGGUGAGUAACACGUGACUAACCUACCCUUGAGUGGGGAAUAACCUGGAGAAAUCUAGGCUAAUACCGCAUAACACCUACGGGUCAAAGGAGCAAUUCGCUUAAGGGAGGGGGUCGCGGCAGAUUAGCUAGUUGGCGGGGUAAUGGCCCACCAAGGCAGUGAUCUGUA